GCUGAAGUGGCUCAGUCGGUAGAGCAGCUGAUUCGUAAUCAGCAGGUCGUCGGUUCAAGUCCGAUCUUCAGCUCCA
This 76-nucleotide transfer RNA is filed under the name Candidatus Merdivicinus excrementipullorum. RNAcentral's name for it is "tRNA-Thr". It matches the Rfam family "tRNA". From Rfam's summary of the family: Transfer RNA (tRNA) molecules are approximately 80 nucleotides in length. Their secondary structure includes four short double-helical elements and three loops (D, anti-codon, and T loops). The record is from RNAcentral. Lineage: Bacteria; Bacillati; Bacillota; Clostridia; Eubacteriales; Oscillospiraceae. RNAcentral also lists the same sequence under 2 other names.